UCCCAUGCCGAACUCAGAAGUGAAACGCCGUAGCGCCGAUGGUAGUGUGGGGUCUCCCCAUGCGAGAGUAGGGAACUGCCAGGC
Molecule: ribosomal RNA, 84 nt
Filed under: Escherichia coli
Lineage: Bacteria; Pseudomonadati; Pseudomonadota; Gammaproteobacteria; Enterobacterales; Enterobacteriaceae
Source: RNAcentral